RNAcentral lists this ribosomal RNA (512 nucleotides) under uncultured bacterium. Its description in RNAcentral is "partial 16S ribosomal RNA". It matches the Rfam family "Bacterial small subunit ribosomal RNA", at positions 28 to 523 of the family's 1533-position model. The record is from RNAcentral.
GAUGAACGCUGGCGGCGUGCCUAAUACAUGCAAGUCGAGCGGAUCAAAGGGAGCUUGCUCCCAGAGAUUAGCGGCGGACGGGUGAGUAACACGUGGGCAACCUGCCCUGUAGACUGGGAUAACACCGAGAAAUCGGUGCUAAUACCGGAUAACACCUUUCUUCUCAUGGCGGAAGGUUAAGAGUUGGGAUUACUAACACUACAGGAUGGGCCCGCGGCACAUUAGCUAGUUGGUAAGGUAAUGGCUUACCAAGGCGACGAUGCGUAGCCGACCUGAGAGGGUGAUCGGCCACACUGGGACUGAGACACGGCCCAGACUCCUACGGGAGGCAGCAGUAGGGAAUCUUCCGCAAUAGACGAAAGUCUGACGGAGCAACGCCGCGUGAGUGAUGAAGGUUUUCGGAUCGUAAAGCUCUGUUGUUAGGGAAGAACAAGUGCCGUUCGAAUAGGUCGGCACCUUGACGGUACCUAACCAGAAAGCCACGGCUAACUACGUGCCAGCAGCCGCAGUAA